AUAAGACAGUAAGUUAAUUAAGAGUUGUGCUUGUGUUUCUUCUAACGAAAAUAAAGAGACACAACACAACAUUAUCUGUGACUAGCUAUUGUAAACAUCAAGGAAGAAUAGAAUAACAAGGCAUCAUACCAACACACACUCAAGAGGUGGAAUAGGAUAAAAACAAUCUCAAAAUAGGGGCUUUUAUAGAGAAAACGAUACAUUUAUUGAAAAAAAAAACAUGUGAAUACAAAGAUCUACACUUGGUGAGAGCUUAGGGUGUUGACUGAUUGAGUAUUCAAAUACAGGUACAACCUAUCGAAAUUAAAGGCUCCAAAUUUGAGUUGGUAUAGCCUUGUGCCACAGAUUUCAAGAUUCCAACAAUAAGGCCAUCACUCUCUUUGGUGUCUUUUUAGAUUAUAUGGUGGUAUUAGCUUAGCUAGAAGCUCAACCCACAGAUUUGAGAUAGAAUUGAAGAAUGAAAUUGAUAAUUAUCUGAAGAAUUCUGAACACUCAUUUCACAAUGGAUGGAAAGUUUCAUGAUAUAUCGAAGGUUGGUAGAAGUGGAAGAGGCUACUUUCCUAAAUGGAGAUUCAUAAUAAUAGGGAUUGUUGUCUGAUUGUUUUUUUUGGCUCGGGUCACUUUUGGGUCUGACCUUUGUAAAUAACUCUUUGUUGAUUUAAUGAAUUGGCCAUAAAUCUGGUUUUAAUGCAAAAAAAAAAAAAGGACUAACUUUCAUUUCUUUUGAUUUUCUUAGUUUUGCCCCAGAUGUUACCUUUUUCUUAUAAACCUUACAUAAUUUCUAGGUAAAUGUUUCUUAAUCUUUGAAUCUAAUCAACUCCAAAUGUCCAUUUUCUCAUUCAAUCAUUACUCCAACAUGGUUUCAACGUGAUAAAAAAAUUUGCUUCAUCCGUACUAAAGAGGAAGGGGAAUGUCUGAAGAAACAAUUCAAGAAAACAUUUUGACCCAAAAAAAGGAAGCCAACUUUUCAAGAAAAUAUUUUGAUGGGUUAUCAUGAAUUUUUAUUUUCAUCAAUAGUCUUCCUCAUUUUGGUUCUUAUUUGGUUUAUAAUAUUGUCCUCUUUCCCCUUCAUUGGUUUCCAUGGUAGUUGUUGUUCAUUUUCCUCCUUUUUAUUUGAUCUAAAAUUUGACGUGGUCGAAGUUUGGAGCUUUUCUAUUUCCAUUUUUCUUAUCCCAUUUUGAUAAUUGAGUACUGGUGGCAUGGAUGGGUGUCUAAUUUAUCUUGGUUGGAUUCAAAAUUUGGAUCAAGGGAUAACCCAUAUUUUCUCUGGUAUCUUUGAG
RNAcentral lists this long non-coding RNA (1280 nucleotides) under Capsicum annuum. RNAcentral's name for it is "long non-coding RNA (CANN_LNC014668)". Lineage: Eukaryota; Viridiplantae; Streptophyta; Magnoliopsida; Solanales; Solanaceae. The record is from RNAcentral.